Culex pipiens pallens (northern house mosquito) is the source of this 330-nucleotide long non-coding RNA. RefSeq lists it as uncharacterized. The record is from RefSeq and is a predicted model, not a curated record. Lineage: Eukaryota; Metazoa; Arthropoda; Insecta; Diptera; Culicidae. The transcript has 2 exons.
GCCGUGAAUCCCUUGUUCUCGGUGUUGUUGUAGGUACUCCGGAACUCCAGCAUCAGCCAGGGCCCGUUGGACAGGAUUGGCUUGGGCAGUGUGUCCCCGCAGAGCGUCUCCACGACCUCGUCUCGACCGUCCACUUUGAAUAAUCCUGAAUCAACAUGGCGGCGGGUGGCUCCAGAAAGCUCAUUUUCACUCGAAUUGGACACGUUCCGGAUGGGAAGAGGAACCGACCGACCGAAGUGGUUCCGGAUUAGAACGAGUGGAAAACGUGUGAUCAUAACAUUACUCUGUCGCUCUCCGUUUUGGAUGUUGGAGUUGCAGCUGGGCACCACC